GCAUUUGCUUUUAUUUAACAGCAAUUUAUUCAUGUUUAAAGAUAUGUUUGAACUGAGAAAAAAUAAGAAAAAUAUGAACUUAGUUCAUUUCUUUUGUAUAGGAUCAGAUCUGUUUCAUUUUAAAAAGCUUGGAAGAACAGAGAAUUUUCAGUCUCAUAAAUGUCCAUCUUUGUAAAUCUCUACAGUACCCCCUCCUACAGCUGCCAGAAACACUUCCACUUGAAUCCAUGCCCCCUGAGGAUAAACCUGUUACACGCACCAAGACAGAAAUUUUCUGUAUUGAUAAGAAUUUGCCUUGUGUAACAGCAGGUUUUAAAAACAUUUCUGCUUUCAGCAUUGCUCCUGUUUCAGGACAAAGCUUGAGCAUCAGGCUUAACAGAGGAACUGUUAAUACAGUGUGAGUUUGGAUCUAAGGAUUAUUCCAACUUGUAAAAGAAACAAACACCUCUUGUCACAAAAGGUGUAGGAACACAAACAUCCAGCUUCUCUCAGUAUAAUUCAAACUUCCUUGUAGAUCAUUUGGCACCGCUGACUGAUAAUUAGAACAUAAAUUUUAAAAUCAGCACUAUAGUUGAAAUACUUAAUCUUCUCUGAGCAACUGAAGACUUUUGGGAUUUUAUGUGCAUGCAUCUAGGGAAAACAUUACUAAUUCUCCAAACAAACUGAUGUGAGUGAGGCACCCUGGUGAAACGUCUGCUGAGCCUACAAAUAUUUCCUUUUUCUGUGAUAAGACUUUUAAUGCUCUGGCUUUAAGAAAAACAAAGUAAUUUGUAUUUAAAAGGAGAGUUAUCUCAGGGUUUAUUACGACCUGGUGAGAAGACUGCAACAAGGGUUUUGUAAAUGUGAAUCCAUAAAAACAAAAUCAUACAGCUCAACUAGGCACAGGCAGAAGAAACAGAAAAAGCAGUGGGAAAUCUGGUUCUUGACUGGGAAGAUGUCUCCCAGAGCAAUGUGCUCCCAUUACUGCAGCCCUUUGCCACAGCAGAGGCAUCAGUUCAGUGAGGAAUCAGCUCCCACCCUGCAGCUGCUGGGGACAGGCACAGCCAUUGUGUCCUCCUUCCUCCAUGGCCACCUGCUCAAGGCUGAGGAAGAAUCCCCUGUAGAAACCCAAGUAAGCCCAAAUCGCACCAAGUGCUUGAGCUGUGGGAACAUUUCUGUUUCCUUGUGCCCAUGCUCUGCUCAUUGAGCUGUUAUUCCUUGGAUUAUUGCCACAGUGCUCUCCAGUGCUGCCCCAGACUCAGUUCCACACCAGACUGGUUGGACUCUAGGCUGGACAUGGCUUGCCUCUUUACUACCAAUGAUCCACUAGCAAAAAUUUUAUGAACACAUUUCUUCACAGAUUUGACUCUGCCUUAUUGAAUUGUUUUUGCUUAUAUUAAAAAAAUGUAAUAAAAUCCACGACUUUUGUAAGCAACAAACAGCUGAAUAAAUUUAUAAUCAAAAGAAUAUGCUUUCAAGUAAAAUAGUUCUGAAAAACAGACAAAGCCAAAUUCAUGUCAUAUUAAGUGAAAUAAUUGUGUCCCUGGCUGAAGGGUAAUAGUCUUUUAAUAUGUAACAUGGAAUAUUUAUUUUUGUAGCAGUAACAGAGAAAUACUCAUCUAAUUGCAAACAGUCCUCAAAAAUAUAUUUGGACCACAGAUUUAAGACAUCUGAAUUCCAGAGACUGAAGGGAAGAAGGAUCUACAAAGAUCAAGUCCUAUCACAUGACUGACCUUCUCCCUAUAUAUACCUCUUUGUUCUUUUGAUAUUCAAGUUUGUAGUUCCCUAGUGAUUCCAAGAACUAAUAAGAAAUUCCUGGAGAGGAAAUAACAAUGAAAGCAGCUGGAAGACUAUCCUUUUUUUUUCUUUUUUUUUUUUUCUUCUAUAUCUCAUGUUAGACUUCCACAUGUCAUCUUGGCCAAAUGUCAAAUAAACUUAUGUUUAUUUUCAGAUUUUCAGACUUUGGUUUUUUGAGUAUGGCUCAAUUAACAAAAUAAAUGCUUAGUGUUACUAAACCUGGUGUGUCUCAGUUUUUGCAGAUUCCUAAAAUCCUCACCAAGUAAGAUUGCUGCUGCUAACUAGCUUGCUGGAGCCCUGGGUCUUUCUGAGAGCCCAUCAUCUAAAGUGUUCACUUUCUGGUUUAAAAAGGUCUCUCUACCUAUUCUGGUAG
This 2149-nucleotide long non-coding RNA is filed under the name Taeniopygia guttata (zebra finch). RNAcentral describes it as "lncRNA (ENSTGUG00000026035.1)". Lineage: Eukaryota; Metazoa; Chordata; Aves; Passeriformes; Estrildidae. The record is from RNAcentral.